RNAcentral lists this ribosomal RNA (500 nucleotides) under uncultured bacterium. RNAcentral's name for it is "partial 16S ribosomal RNA". It matches the Rfam family "Bacterial small subunit ribosomal RNA", at positions 30 to 523 of the family's 1533-position model. The record is from RNAcentral.
AUUGAACGCUGGCGGAAUGCUUUACACAUGCAAGUCGAACGGCAGCACGGACUUCGGUCUGGUGGCGAGUGGCGAACGGGUGAGUAAUGUAUCGGAACGUGCCCAGUCGUGGGGGAUAACGUAGUGAAAAUUACGCUAAUACCGCAUACGGUCUAUGGAUGAAGGCGGGGGAUCGCAAGCCCUUGCGCGAUUGGAGCGGCCGAUAUCAGAUUAGGUAGUUGGUGGGGUAAAGGCCCACCAAGCCAACGAUCUGUAGCUGGUCUGAGAGGACGAACAGCCACACUGGAACUGAGACACGGUCCAGACUCCUACGGGAGGCAGCAGUGGGGAAUUUUGGACAAUGGGCGAAAGCCUGAUCCAGCCAUUCCGCGUGCAGGAUGAAGGCCCUCGGGUUGUAAACUGCUUUUGUACAGAACGAAAAGGUUUCUACUAAUACUAGGAGCUCAUGACGGUACUGUAAGAAUAAGCACCGGCUAACUACGUGCCAGCAGCCGCAGUAA